Molecule: non-coding RNA, 22 nt
Filed under: Mus musculus (house mouse)
Lineage: Eukaryota; Metazoa; Chordata; Mammalia; Rodentia; Muridae
Source: RNAcentral
AUAGUACUACCGGAGGAUCCAG